GCCGGGCUCACAGUAUCUGUCACACCUCCGGUCCCUCCUGGACCUCUCCAUGCAACCCAGCUGCCUCCUGGGCCCAUCCCCUUGGGGAAGAGGAAGGCAGGGCAGGAGAGGCGGCUAGAUCCCAGGCCCACCACCUGCCAGGCGGCAGCUCCAACACGGUCCAGUCCCUUCUGUCCUCCUCAAAAGGUGUGGAGAUAACGUAGCUCUGUAAUAGAUUCUAUAUAGGAUAUGCGUAUUGCUAAUAGUCAGGCUUAGGGAUAAAGGUGCAGACAUCUCAUAAAUACUGAGUGGCUCGUCUCUCUCUACAGGGUCUGGAUGAGUCAGGGUCACACUCACAGGACAGGACAACCCCGGAUUCUAGAAUUAGUCAUCUUGUAAACAAAGGAGGGAAGGGUCCGGCUUUCUUAAUUGGUUUCCUUGGGAAAAAUGAUCAAAGGAUGCUAAGGCACUCUGGAAGGCCCCUCUGAGCCCGGGCCGCCGCCCCCGCCCCACGGUACAUUCAGGACGUGGAGGGAGCACACAGCAGGUCCGCUCAGCAGCCACGCACGUCCACAGACACUCCCGACUCACGCCCACCGUGGGACACAUUAGUGCAAAAUGCUCGGCCUGGCCCGCCCGGGGCGCAGGGAGAGCUCAGAACCCAUUCACAUUAAAUUAUUAUUAUUUAAGUUUUAUCUAUAGCUCUUGCCUUCCUUACCCAGAACAAAACAGACGGCGAUUACAAACGAGUGAGGAAGGGGCACGGGACAUUGUGCGGGCCUGAACAGCAGUCAGGCGUCCUCUGUGCAGCCACCACCUCCGGCAGCAGCCAGCGGCUCCCUCCCUGUCCUGGCCAAGGGUGGGGGGGCACCCACUUUGGAGUGGAGGGCAGAGAGCAACGUAUUUUUCUGGAGGGCAGGCAUGUGCUGGGCCUGGCUGGAGGCAGCCCAGGAGGCUGAGUGCUGUCUGUAGAGGCGGCCCCACGGGAGGUCUCCUAGGGCCUCGCCACAGGGGUGGGCUUCGGGGCAGAAAGGAGCCGCCCAGUGGGAAUGCGUC
This 1035-nucleotide long non-coding RNA is filed under the name Homo sapiens (human). RNAcentral's name for it is "non-protein coding lnc-KCNT1-2:1". Lineage: Eukaryota; Metazoa; Chordata; Mammalia; Primates; Hominidae. The record is from RNAcentral.